This 422-nucleotide ribosomal RNA is filed under the name Fusobacteriota bacterium. RNAcentral's name for it is "Fusobacteria bacterium partial 16S ribosomal RNA". It matches the Rfam family "Bacterial small subunit ribosomal RNA", at positions 355 to 776 of the family's 1533-position model. Lineage: Bacteria; Fusobacteriati; Fusobacteriota. The record is from RNAcentral.
UGGGGGAUUUUGCACAAUGGGCGCAAGCCUGAUGCAGCGACGCCGCGUGAGGGAUGAAGGCCUUCGGGUUGUAAACCUCUUUCGCUGGGUUGAAAGGCCAUGCUUUGGGUGUGGUUGAUUUGAACUGGUAAAGAAGUACCGGCUAACUACGUGCCAGCAGCCGCGGUAAUACGUAGGGUACUAGCGUUGUCCGGAUUUAUUGGGCGUAAAGGGCUUGUAGGUGGUUUGUCGCGUCUGUCGUGAAAUCCUGUGGCUUAACCAUGGGCUUGCGGUGGGUACGGGCAGGCUUGAGUGCGGUAGGGGAGACUGGAAUUCCGGGUGUAGCGGUGGAAUGCGCAGAUAUCAGGAGGAACACCGGUGGCGAAGGCGGGUCUCUGGGCCGUUACUGACACUGAGGAGCGAAAGCGUGGGGAGCGAACAGG